This 295-nucleotide ribosomal RNA is filed under the name uncultured bacterium. Its description in RNAcentral is "partial 16S ribosomal RNA". It matches the Rfam family "Bacterial small subunit ribosomal RNA", at positions 333 to 645 of the family's 1533-position model. The record is from RNAcentral.
GGUAGCCUACGGGGCGCAGCAGUGGGGGAUAUUGCACAAUGGGGGGAGCCCUGAUGCAGCGACGCCGCGUGGGUGAAGAAGCGCCUCGGCGCGUAAAGCCCUGUCAGCAGGGAAGAAAAUGACGGUACCUGAAGAAGAAGCCCCGGCUAACUACGUGCCAGCAGCCGCGGUAAUACGUAGGGGGCAAGCGUUAUCCGGAUUUACUGGGUGUAAAGGGGGCGCAGACGGCGAUGCAAGCCAGGAGUGAAAGCCCGAGGCCCAACCCCGGGACCGCUCUUGGAACUGCGUGGCUGGA